ACCUUCGUGGUGUAAUUGUCAGCACGCUCAGCUAGUAUUCGAGAGGUCCGAGGUUCGAGUCCCGGCGAGGACA
This 73-nucleotide transfer RNA is filed under the name Stegodyphus mimosarum. It matches the Rfam family "tRNA". Rfam says of the family: Transfer RNA (tRNA) molecules are approximately 80 nucleotides in length. The record is from Rfam by way of RNAcentral. Lineage: Eukaryota; Metazoa; Arthropoda; Arachnida; Araneae; Eresidae.